GUCUUUUUGAAUUUAAUUUAAAGUCUGAUCUGCCCACUGAUAAUUUAUAUAUAUUAAAUGGCCGCAGUAUUUUAACUGUGCAAAGGUAGCAUAAUCAUUAGUUUUUUAAUUGAGGGCUGGAAUGAAUGAUUGGACGAGAUAUAAACUGUCUCAUUAGAAAUUAUUUAGAAUUUUAUUUUUUAGUUAAAAAGCUAAAAUUUUUUUAAAAGACGAGAAGACCCUAUAGAUCUUUAUAUUAAUUGUAUAAUUUGUUUUUUAGAUAGCUUAGAUAAUUAUGUUUAUUAAUAUUUUGUUGGGGUGACAUUGAAAUUUAUUAAACUUUCAAGUGUAAUUAAACAUUUAUAAAUGAUUAGAUUUGAUCCUAUAUUACGGAUAUAAAAAUUAAGUUACCUUAGGGAUAACAGCGUAAUUAUUUCGGAGAGUUCAUAUUGAUGAAAUAGAUUGCGACCUCGAUGUUGGAUUAAGAUUAAUAAUAGGGGCAGUUUCUUAUUAUAUUAAGUCUGUUCGACUUUUAAAUUCUU
Molecule: ribosomal RNA, 521 nt
Filed under: Argyra atriceps
Lineage: Eukaryota; Metazoa; Arthropoda; Insecta; Diptera; Dolichopodidae
Description: partial 16S ribosomal RNA
Rfam family: Bacterial large subunit ribosomal RNA (bases 397-521)
Source: RNAcentral